UACGGGGGGGGCAAGCGUUGUUCGGAAUUACUGGGCGUAAAGGGCUCGUAGGUGGCCAACUAAGUCAGACGUGAAAUCCCUCGGCUUAACCAGGGAACUGCGUCUGAUACUGGAUGGCUUGAGUUUGGGAGAGGGACGCGGAAUUCCAGGUGUAGCGGUGAAAUGCGUAGAUAUCUGGAGGAACACCGGUGGCGAAGGCGGCGUCCUGGACCAACACUGACACUGAGGAGCGAAAGCCAGGGGAGCAAACGGG
Molecule: ribosomal RNA, 253 nt
Filed under: uncultured bacterium
Lineage: Bacteria
Description: partial 16S ribosomal RNA
Rfam family: Bacterial small subunit ribosomal RNA
Source: RNAcentral